AAGGGUGUAGAGCAGGCCUGCUCACAGUUAUAGCCAGGGGUGAAAACCUUCAAAAGAACUCCUGGCUGGCUUGCCAAAUGAUUUGGGGUCUUCCUUUGUUUCUUCUUUCUUUUAAAUAAUAUUUCGUUGUUUCCAUUACAUGUAAGAUAGUUUUAUACAUUUAUUUUUUAAGAUUUUGAGCUCCAAAUUGUUUUUUUUUUCCCUGUCCUUCCCUAAGAUAGUUAAAGGAAAAAUUUUUGGUCUGACUUUCACCCUAAUUAAGGAGACAAAAUUCAGGACCUAGAGAAUUAAAAUUGCUUAUUAAAGUAUAUCAAGGUAGAAACACAUUGAGGGGCCAAUUACUGGGGAUCAGCAACGGCUUCAAGAUGGGACCAGCUUCUACUUGUGACUUUCCUAAUGAGAUAAAGAAAAUCUGGAUAAGUCAUGUCAGUAAGAGGGGAUGGGGAAUUGCAUCUCAGCAGGAUGUCAAGUAUAUGGCCACUUUCAGGUACAAAAAAGGUAGGAGGAUGACUUGCUGUGACUGAUGAAUAUCAGGGAAUGCAAAACUGCAGCCUGGGUUUGAUUGCCCCGCAGGUCUGGGAACAAAAGGUCACCGAGUCAGCCUAACUUGCAAAAUCCUCCCAGAAAAUGAGUGUGAACUAGAUGAUCUCUAAUAUAAUCCUAUCGUAAUGUGGGCCCUAUAGAAGGUGAAGAGAUUUUCCUGCCUGCUUCCAGUCUGUUUUGUAGCUUUGUCAGAGAGCUCCUUCUGUCUAUGCAAGACUCAGGCGUUUGCAAUGGAAAAUGUUUACACCUAGUCUCCGAAUCGGUUAUAAAUCACAACUCAACCAAUGCAUAAAAGGGAGCUGCUGCUUCUCCCCUGCAUCUUCCCUGUUGCCCGCCCGGCCCCAUUAUCCCCCACGGAGAUCCUGGUCAGCGGCCGCGUAACUUUGGCGGGAGAAGGGCUCAUUGCUCUGCUGUGGCGUGGCUUCCGUGCCGCUGUGAGUCCUCGGCCGUCUCUGUCCCUUUUGCCUUUAUUUAUCUUAAAAAAACCAGAGGGCAAAGGUUCUGGGGGCCCGUGAGUACGGAAGCGGAGGUGACCCCGGAGAGCGGGGCUGACGGCCGAGGAGGUUUCCCCUCAGGAGAUCGGCCCCGCUUGUCCCUUUUGCCUUUAAUAAAAGAACCAGAGGGCAAAGGUUCUGGGGGGCCCGUGAGUACGGAGGUGGAGAUGACCCGGGAGAGCGGGGUUGAUGGCCGAGGAGGUUUCCUCUCAGGAACUCGGCCCCUGCUUGUCCCUUUUGCCUUUAAUAAAAGAACCAGAGGGCAAAGGUUCUGGGGGGCCCGUGAGUACGGAAGCGGAGGUGACCCCGGAGAGCGGGGCUGAGGGGCGAGGAGGUUUCCUCUCAGGGGAUGGGCCCC
Long non-coding RNA from Antechinus flavipes (yellow-footed antechinus), 1395 nucleotides. RefSeq lists it as uncharacterized. The record is from RefSeq and is a predicted model, not a curated record. NCBI's taxonomy places the organism in Eukaryota, Metazoa, Chordata, Mammalia, Dasyuromorphia, Dasyuridae. The transcript is spliced from 3 exons.